This 426-nucleotide ribosomal RNA is filed under the name uncultured bacterium. RNAcentral's name for it is "bacterial SSU rRNA". It matches the Rfam family "Bacterial small subunit ribosomal RNA", at positions 356 to 773 of the family's 1533-position model. The record is from RNAcentral.
GGGGAAUAUUGCGCAAUGGACGAAAGUCUGACGCAGCGACGCCGCGUGAGGGACGAAGGUCUUCGGAUCGUAAACCUCUGUCAGAGGGGAAGAAGUGCAGGUACUCUAAUAUAGUGCCUGUUUGACGGUACCCUCAAAGGAAGCACCGGCUAACUCCGUGCCAGCAGCCGCGGUAAUACGGAGGGUGCGAGCGUUAAUCGGAAUUACUGGGCGUAAAGCGCGCGUAGGCGGCUUUGUAAGUCAGGGGUGAAAUCCCACGGCUCAACCGUGGCAUUGCCUUUGAUACUGCAGGGCUUGAGUUCGGGAGAGGGUGGUGGAAUUCCAGGUGUAGGGGUGAAAUCCGUAGAGAUCUGGAGGAACAUCAGUGGCGAAGGCGACCACCUGGCCCGAUACUGACGCUGAGGUGCGAAAGCGUGGGUAGCAAAC